GAUGAACGCUGGCGGCGUGCUUAACACAUGCAAGUCGAACGGAGCACUUUAUUUGAUUUCCUUCGGGACUGAUUAUUUUGUGACUGAGUGGCGGACGGGUGAGUAACGCGUGGGUAACCUGCCUUGUACAGGGGGAUAACAGUUGGAAACGGCUGCUAAUACCGCAUAAGCGCACAGCAUCGCAUGAUGCAGUGUGAAAAACUCCGGUGGUAUAAGAUGGACCCGCGUUGGAUUAGCUAGUUGGUGAGGUAACGGCCCACCAAGGCGACGAUCCAUAGCCGACCUGAGAGGGUGACGGGCCACGUUGGGGCUACGACACGGCCCAUACUCCUACGGGAGGCAGCAGUGGGGAAUAUGGUCCAAUGGGCGAGAGCCUGAUGCAGCGACGCCGCGUGAGCGAAGAAGUAUUUCGGUAUGUAAAGCUCUAUCAGCAGGGAAGAUAAUGCCGGUACCUGACUAGGGACCACCGGCUAACUACGUG
Molecule: ribosomal RNA, 481 nt
Filed under: uncultured bacterium
Lineage: Bacteria
Description: partial 16S ribosomal RNA
Rfam family: Bacterial small subunit ribosomal RNA
Source: RNAcentral